Molecule: ribosomal RNA, 465 nt
Filed under: uncultured bacterium
Lineage: Bacteria
Description: partial 16S ribosomal RNA
Rfam family: Bacterial small subunit ribosomal RNA
Source: RNAcentral
GACGAACGCUGGCGGCGUGCUUAACACAUGCAAGUCGAACGGAAAGGCCCCUUUGGGGGUACUCGAGUGGCGCACGGGUGAGUAACACGUGAGUAACCUGCCCUUGACUUCGGGAUAACUUCAGGAAACUGGGGCUAAUACCGGAUAGGAAUCCUUGCUGCAUGGUGGGGGUUGGAAAGCUUCGGCGGUUUUGGAUGGACUCGCGGCUUAUCAGCUUGUUGGUGGGGUAGUGGCUUACCAAGGCUUUGACGGGUAGCCGGCCUGAGAGGGCGACCGGCCACCUUGGGACUGGGAUACGGCCCAGACUCCUACGGGAGGCAGGAGUGGGGAAUAUUGCACAAUGGGCGGAAGCCUGAUGCAGCAACGCCGCGUGCGGGAUGACGGCCUUCGGGUUGUAAACCGCUUUCAGCAGGGGCGAAGCUUGUGGUGACGGUACCUGCAGAAGAAGCACCGGCUAACUACGUG